AAUAGAUACCCAGGUAGUCCUAGCUGUAAACGAUGAGCACUGGGUUGAGGGACUUCCACAUCCUCUCGGCCGUAGCGAAAGCGUUAAGUGCUCCGCCUGGGGAGUAUGGCCGCAAGGCUGAAACUCAAAGGAAUUGACGGGGGCUCACACAAGCGGUGGAGGAUGUGGCUUAAUUCGAGGCUACGCGAAGAACCUUAUCCUAGAUUUGACAUGGUUGAGAAUCUCCUUGAAAGAGGAGAGUGCCCUUCGGGGAGCUCUUUCACAGGUGCUGCAUGGCUGUCGUCAGCUCGUGUCGUGAGAUGUUGGGUUAAGUCCCUUAACGAGCGAAACCCUUAUCUUUAGUUGCCAGCGGGUCAAGCCGGGGACUCUAAAGAGACUGCCGGUGUCAAACCGGAGGAAGGUGGGGAUGACGUCAAGUCCUCAUGGCCUUUAUGGUCUAGGGCUGCACACGUCCUACAAUGGCACGUACAAAGGGAAGCCAAGCCGCGAGGCCGCGCUAAUCCCAAAAAGCGUGCCCCAGUUCGGAUUGCAGG
This 533-nucleotide ribosomal RNA is filed under the name uncultured bacterium. RNAcentral describes it as "bacterial SSU rRNA". It matches the Rfam family "Bacterial small subunit ribosomal RNA", at positions 777 to 1304 of the family's 1533-position model. The record is from RNAcentral.